Molecule: small RNA, 28 nt
Filed under: Bombyx mori (domestic silkworm)
Lineage: Eukaryota; Metazoa; Arthropoda; Insecta; Lepidoptera; Bombycidae
Description: ovarian small RNA-31056
Source: RNAcentral
UGAAUAAUGCUUCUAGGGGCUUGUGAUC